Molecule: transfer RNA, 69 nt
Filed under: Bos taurus (domestic cattle)
Lineage: Eukaryota; Metazoa; Chordata; Mammalia; Artiodactyla; Bovidae
Also listed under: 3 other names
Rfam family: tRNA
About the family: Transfer RNA (tRNA) molecules are approximately 80 nucleotides in length. Their secondary structure includes four short double-helical elements and three loops (D, anti-codon, and T loops).
Source: Rfam by way of RNAcentral
CCUGGUGGCUCAGAUGGUAAAGCAUCUGCCUACAAUGCAGGAGACCCGGGUUCGAUCCCUGCGUCAGGA